UUUAGACCCGCGUCUCACCCCGGGCCGGAAGGGCUCCUGCGCAGGCGUUUGUAGCCACUUUUAAGUUUUAUCAGCUAGUUCAUGCUUGCGUUGAAAGAGUGGUCGUUUGCGCUGGGUCAUCACUGUGUAGUAUUGGGGAUACUUAGGUGAGAAAAAAACUUAACGCUAGAGACGUUCACGCACUAGUGGAGAAGCCAGGAUUGUUGCCCUAGAGUUACAGUAGAUAAAAGUACCUCAGAGAACUGCGGGGGCUCCCAACCUGGACGCUUGCACCGGAGUAUUAAAUCCAGCUAGAGAAUGGCAUGUGCAAAGAUACAGAGCUUUUAGAAGUUGCCUGCAUUCCUUGGCCCCUUCCUCACAUCAUUCCAACCAACUUCCAUCCUUACAAUCGAUUACUUUCCUGUAAUAGCUACAGUCAAAUGGGCAGCUGAAGAUGAUGAUGAUGAUGAUCUUGACACCGAGAAGCAGAAGACCAAUGAAGAUGACCAGACAGCAAAAAAGGAUAAGUUAAAAGAAGGUAAAAGAAGGCCACUCGUACUUGCUGUCUCAGUAUCUAAAGGUGGUCACCUUCCAGUAGAGAGGCCCACCCACUGCAGACCGUGCCACCGAAGGUGACAUGCACUUUCUGCCACCCAUCCAAAACCGUAACGUGAAUCUGCAACAGGAGAGGAAAGAAGAACCAAAACUUCCAAGGCCUUGCAUUUUUUCUUAAAAGCAUUUUUUUUUUUUUUUGGAGAUGGAGUCUCACUCUAUUGCCUGGAGUGCAGUGGCGUAAUUUCGGCUCACUGAAGCCUCUGCUUCCCGGGUUUAAGAAAUUCUCUGCCUCAGCCUCCCAAGUAGCUGGGAUUACAGGCA
RNAcentral lists this long non-coding RNA (855 nucleotides) under Homo sapiens (human). RNAcentral's name for it is "non-protein coding KCTD21-AS1:2". Lineage: Eukaryota; Metazoa; Chordata; Mammalia; Primates; Hominidae. The record is from RNAcentral.